Non-coding RNA from Python bivittatus (Burmese python), 1202 nucleotides. Lineage: Eukaryota; Metazoa; Chordata; Lepidosauria; Squamata; Pythonidae. The record is from RefSeq and is a predicted model, not a curated record.
CGAUCCGGCCCCCUCGGGCUGGCGUGGGAGCCCCUGGGUAGAGGCGAGGGGACGGGGUACGAAGCGAGAACUGCGCUAUGGUUCCCGUCCUGUCUCUCGCUGCUCCGCUAUCUGGGAAAGCUCACGUACAUCACGAGAGGAAAAUCCAAGAGUGCUUUCCCUGGGCGGGUUCUUCCGACACUGAAAAAGCGCGCCCGGGCAUUGCUGUCUGCUCAGGCUUCUCGUCUUCUCACUUCGAAGGCAUCCUGGCCAGCCCCAGCGUGGUCACGUGUGCUGCCGUAGGGUGGCGAGCAGAGACGCCACGAGUCGCAACACACCCACCCACCCCGCGUUGGGAUCAAUUACUCCAGAGGGACUGUCACCUUCCAAAUGGCACACGGGUUGCUGCAAAGGCAGCGGAUUUUGCUCUCGGUGUGUACUAGAGACUCACUAGUGGAACUGAAACAAUACCAGACACCAUCACAUUAGAGCCUGCCAGACACAGUUGGAAGCUGACGAUGGUUUCAAGAGGAUGAACACAAGUGUGAUACCUGAUCCUUGCAGGAUGAAGUCAGAAACUUUUAGGUGCUCCUAGAUUUGGAAUUUGCCACAACAGAUCAGCAUGGAAAGAAGCAAUUAAAGCAUAAGCGGUGAGAUCUGCAUAAAGAUUCUUUAGCAAAUAUUGGACUAUAAACCUUAAUAACAAACUAAUCCAGCAAUAGCCCUUGAUUUCUUUUUAUAAUCAGCAACAGUUAUUCUGAAAGGAAGCCUGUAAAGGAGCUGUGUGUUGUAGAUGUUCCUUCAUUGCUUUUCACUUUGAGUAGCAUUUGUGAGCUGGCCACAACCCAAUGAGGAUGUACUGUCUGAGCAGUGGAAAGAUAAAGAAGAAGCAUAGUAGGGGCAUUUACUAGCUGUGGGAGACAGAAACACUGAGCAGCAUCCAGAUGCCAAAAGGCCUUGCAAUGCUGCAGCUGCUUGUCUCUAAAGGACCAACUACCAGAAGAAAAGCUGGGAAACAUUGGGUGUGAAAUGGCAAUAUGUUUGGAAUUCUGUACCAAAUCUUCAUCAUUAGCAGAGUCCAGAACAUGCAGACCAGUAAGUUGGAAAUGGAAGUAACAGCAGACACAUCCCCAAUAUGGCUAGCGUCCUGGAUUCCAUCGCAUCAGCAAAUGUGGAUUUAGGAGCAAGAAUUUAUCUAGGGAACAUGCAACUUCCAUCUGAUU